RNAcentral lists this ribosomal RNA (465 nucleotides) under uncultured bacterium. RNAcentral describes it as "partial 16S ribosomal RNA". It matches the Rfam family "Bacterial small subunit ribosomal RNA", at positions 28 to 507 of the family's 1533-position model. The record is from RNAcentral.
GACGAACGCUGGCGGCGUGCUUAACACAUGCAAGUCGAACGGAAAGGCCCUGCUUGCAGGGUACUCGAGUGGCGAACGGGUGAGUAACACGUGGGUGAUCUGCCCUGCACUUCUGGAUAAGCCUGGGAAACUGGGUCUAAUACCGGAUAUGAGCCAUUUUUAUUGUGAUGGUUGGAAAGUUUUUUCGGUGUAGGAUGAGCUCGCGGCCUAUCAGCUUGUUGGUGGGGUAAUGGCCUACCAAGGCGGCGACGGGUAGCCGGCCUGGGAGGGUGGACGGCCACAUUGGGACUGAGAUUAGGCCCAGACUCCUAAGGGAGGCAGCAGUGGGGAAUAUUGCACAAUGGGCGCAAGCCUGAUGCAGCGACGCCGCGUGGGGGAUGAAGGCCUUCGGGUUGUAAACUCCUUUCGCUAGGGACGAAGCUUUUUGUGACGGUAACUAGAUAAGAAGCACCGGCUAACUACGUG